Molecule: ribosomal RNA, 492 nt
Filed under: uncultured bacterium
Lineage: Bacteria
Description: partial 16S ribosomal RNA
Rfam family: Bacterial small subunit ribosomal RNA
Source: RNAcentral
AGUGAACGCUGGCGGUAGGCCUAACACAUGCAAGUCGAACGGCAGCACAGUAAGAGCUUGCUCUUACGGGUGGCGAGUGGCGGACGGGUGAGGAAUACAUCGGAAUCUACUUUUUCGUGGGGGAUAACGUAGGGAAACUUGCGCUAAUACCGCAUACGACCUACGGGUGAAAGCAGGGGAUCUUCGGACCUUGCGCGAUUGAAUGAGCCGAUGUCGGAUUAGCUAGUUGGCGGGGUAAAGGCCCACCAAGGCGACGAUCCGUAGCUGGUCUGAGAGGAUGAUCAGCCACACUGGAACUGAGACACGGUCCAGACUCCUACGGGAGGCAGCAGUGGGGAAUAUUAGACAAUGGGCGCAAGCCUGAUCCAGCCAUACCGCGUGGGUGAAGAAGGCCUUCGGGUUGUAAAGCCCUUUUGUUGGGAAAGAAAAGCAGCAGGUUAAUACCCCGCUGUUCUGACGGUACCCAAAGAAUAAGCACCGGCUAACUUCGUG